RNAcentral lists this ribosomal RNA (406 nucleotides) under uncultured bacterium. RNAcentral describes it as "partial 16S ribosomal RNA". It matches the Rfam family "Bacterial small subunit ribosomal RNA", at positions 30 to 526 of the family's 1533-position model. The record is from RNAcentral.
AUUGAACGCUGGCGGCAGGCCUAACACAUGCAAGUCGAACGAGUGGCGGACGGGUGGGUAAUGUCUGGGAAACUGCCUGAUGGAGGGGGAUAACUACUGGAAACCGUAGCUAAUACCGCAUACCAUCGGAUGUGCCCAGAUGGGAUUAGCUAGGGGGUGGGGUAACGGCGCACCUAGGCGACGAUCCCUAGCUGGGCUGAGAGGAUGACCAGCCACACUGGAACUGAGACACGGUCCAGACUCCUACGGGAGGCAGCAGUGGGGAAUAUUGCACAAUGGGCGAAAGCCUGAUGCAGCCAUGCCGCGUGUGUGAAGAAGGUCUUCGGGUUGUAAAGUACUGUCAGCGGGGAGGCGUUACCCGAAGAAUAAGCACCGGCUAACUCCGUGCCAGCCGCCGCGGUAAUUC